CCUUAACCUGCUAAAUAGUGAAGGCAACGAUGAGUUGGAUGGCACUUCUUAGAGGGACAGACUACGAUUAGUGGUCGGAAGUUUGAGGCAAUAACAGGUCUGUGAUGCCCUUAGAUGUUCUGGGCUGCACGCGCGCUACACUGACAAAGGCAGCAAGUAUAGAACCUUGGCCGAAAGGUCUGGGGAAUCUUUUGAAACUUUGUCGUGCUGGGGAUAGACCAUUGCAAUUAUUGGUCUUCAACGAGGAAUUCCUAGUAAGCGCAUGUCAUUAGCAUGCGUUGAUUACGUCCCUGCCCUUUGUACACACCGCCCGUCGCUACUACCGAUUGAAUGGCUUAGUGAGGCCUUUGGAUUGAUCCUACCGGAAGGAAGAGGUUGAGAAGAUGGACAAACUUGGUCAUUUAGAGGAAGUAAAAGUCG
This 420-nucleotide ribosomal RNA is filed under the name Microsporidia sp. clade II. RNAcentral describes it as "SSU rRNA". It matches the Rfam family "Eukaryotic small subunit ribosomal RNA", at positions 1341 to 1791 of the family's 1831-position model. Lineage: Eukaryota; Fungi; Microsporidia. The record is from RNAcentral.